Molecule: long non-coding RNA, 1126 nt
Organism: Meriones unguiculatus (Mongolian gerbil)
Lineage: Eukaryota; Metazoa; Chordata; Mammalia; Rodentia; Muridae
Exons: 3
Source: RefSeq, a predicted model, not a curated record
CUCUGUGAUGGCAGCAGAGACUCUUAAGACGCCUCUGGCCUGUCUAGGUUUGUAUCACUUUCGUUUGUUCCAAGAUGGGUUUUCUGUGAAGCCCUGGCUGCCCUGGACCUUGCUCUGUGGUCCAGGCUGGCCAGACUCCCGAGCCUCCGCCUCCCGAGCCAGCAGAGAACACUCUGCUGUAGUCGGUGAUUUCCUUUCCCAUGUGGGUGGCAGGGAUUGAACUCAGGGACUCUGGCUUGGCAGAAGGCUGAUGCCCUCUGAACACUCCUGCCUGCCCUGGUGGCAAGAAUCUCUUCAGGACACUACAUGAGCGAGCAGACGGUGGAUGGUGUUUUGGGUGACAUGAGCAAUGGUAUGGACACAUGAGGAACUGGACCGGCUGCGGAGUGAGAGGAGAAGUCGCAGCCCUGAAUCAUGAUUCGGGCAGGAAAGGCAGAGGAGAGCCGGGAGAGGCCAGAGCGGAAGGACAGAGCUCUGUAAGGACAGGGUGGGAGAAUCUGAAGCAGUUCUGAAUGGCAGCGGGGCACUCACCAAGGAUGCUUAAUGACCAAAUGUGUGACGUGGGGGCUGGCAAAAGAGACUCUGGGCUGGCUCAGAGCAACGGGCCUUGCCAUCCAGCCUGAUGCUGGGUCCUAGGACCAAGGUGGGGUAAGGAGCAACUCCCUCAAGCUGCCCUUUGACCUCACACUGAUGCCGCAGGGUGGUGUCACCCACUUACAUGCAGACGUAAUAAAUAAACAAUGAAAAAUAAAUAAAUCGUAUUAAAAAUAAUACCUGCCGGGCGCAGUGGUGCACGCCUGUGAUCCCAGCACCUGGGGAUUACAGAGGCAGGCAGAUCUCUGUGAGUUCCAGGCCAGCCUGGCCCACACAUCGAGUCCAGACGGCCGGGGCUACGCAGAGAAACGCUGUCUUGUUGCUCUUGCAGGGUCCCGUUCUCAGCACCCAAACGGCGGCUCACAGGCGUCUGUGACACCAGUUCUCCAGCAUCCAUCGCCCUCUUCUGACCUCCAUGGACACCAUGGACAUGUGGAAGUGGCACCGGAGUUGUUGCUGGAGAAAUUGGAGCACCUUAAGGAAGAAGGGUUCGAUUUGGCUCGCGAGUUGAUACAGUUCCCCAGGAUGGCAG